CUACGGGCCGCUGCAGUGGGGAAUAUUGCACAAUGGGCGCAAGCCUGAUGCAGCCAUGCCGCGUGUAUGAAGAAGGCCUUCGGGUUGUAAAGUACUUUCAGCGGGGAGGAAGGGAGUAAAGUUAAUACCUUUGCUCAUUGACGUUACCCGCAGAAGAAGCACCGGCUAACUCCGUGCCAGCAGCCGCGGUAAUACGGAGGGUGCAAGCGUUAAUCGGAAUUACUGGGCGUAAAGCGCACGCAGGCGGUUUGUUAAGUCAGAUGUGAAAUCCCCGGGCUCAACCUGGGAACUGCAUCUGAUACUGGGAAGCUUGAGUGUCGUAGAGGGGGGGAGAAUUCCAGGUGUAGCGGUGAAAUGCGUAGAGAUCUGGAGGAAUACCGGUGGCGAAGGCGGCCCCCUGGACGAAGACUGACGCUCAGGUGCGAAAGCGUGGGGAGCAAACAGGAUUAGAUACCCCCGUAGUC
Molecule: ribosomal RNA, 464 nt
Filed under: uncultured bacterium
Lineage: Bacteria
Description: partial 16S ribosomal RNA
Rfam family: Bacterial small subunit ribosomal RNA
Source: RNAcentral